AUUGAACGCUGGCGGCAGGCUUAACACAUGCAAGUCGAGCGGAGAUGAGGUGCUUGCACCUUAUCUUAGCGGCGGACGGGUGAGUAAUGCUUAGGAAUCUGCCUAUUAGUGGGGGACAACAUUCCGAAAGGAAUGCUAAUACCGCAUACGUCCUACGGGAGAAAGCAGGGGAUCUUCGGACCUUGCGCUAAUAGAUGAGCCUAAGUCGGAUUAGCUAGUUGGUGGGGUAGAGGCCUACCAAGGCGACGAUCUGUAGCGGGUCUGAGAGGAUGAUCCGCCACACUGGGACUGAGACACGGCCCAGACUCCUGCGGGGGGCAGCAGUGGGGAAUAUUGGACAAUGGGGGAAACCCUGAUCCAGCCAUGCCGCGUGUGUGAAGAAGGCCUUAUGGUUGUAAAGCACUUUAAGCGAGGAGGAGGCUACUGAGACUAAUACUCUUGGAUAGUGGACGUUACUCGCAGAAUAAGCACCGGCUAACUCUGUGCCAGCAGCCGCCGUAA
Molecule: ribosomal RNA, 501 nt
Filed under: uncultured bacterium
Lineage: Bacteria
Description: partial 16S ribosomal RNA
Rfam family: Bacterial small subunit ribosomal RNA
Source: RNAcentral